ACGAACGCUGGCGGCGUGCUUAACCCAUGCAAGUCGAACGGAAAGGCCCUGCUUUUGUGGGGUGCUCGAGUGGCGAACGGGUGAGUAACACGUGAGUAAUCUGCCCUUGACUUUGGGAUAACUUCAGGAAACUGGGGCUAAUACCGGAUAGGAGCUCCUGCUGCAUGGUGGGGGUUGGAAAGUUUCGGCGGUUGGGGAUGGACUCGCGGCUUAUCGGCUUGUUGGUGGGGUAGUGGCUUACCAAGGCUUUGACGGGUAGCCGGCCUGGGAGGGUGACCGGCCACAUUGGGACUGAGAUACGGCCCAGACUCCUACGGGGGGCAGCAGUGGGGAAUAUUGCACAAUGGGCGGAAGCCUGAUGCGGCAACGCCGCGUGCGGGAUGACGGCCUUCGGGUUGUAAACCGCUUUCGCCUGUGACGAAGCGUGAGUGACGGUAAUGGGUAAAGAAGCACCGGCUAACUACGUG
RNAcentral lists this ribosomal RNA (467 nucleotides) under uncultured bacterium. RNAcentral describes it as "partial 16S ribosomal RNA". It matches the Rfam family "Bacterial small subunit ribosomal RNA", at positions 29 to 507 of the family's 1533-position model. The record is from RNAcentral.